Molecule: non-coding RNA, 100 nt
Organism: Apis mellifera (honey bee)
Lineage: Eukaryota; Metazoa; Arthropoda; Insecta; Hymenoptera; Apidae
Gene: Mir929
Product: microRNA 929
Exons: 1
Source: RefSeq, marked provisional
ACUUAACUGGGGUCAAAUUGACUCUAGUAGGGAGUCCCUGCAUUCAAUAUGGCGACUUCCUAAUAGAGUCAGGCUGACUCCUUUUAAGACGUUCAACGGA